AACGCGAAGAACCUUACCUGGGUUUGACAUCCCGUGAAAAGUACAGAGAUGUAUAAUAGUAGCGAUACACACGGAGACAGGUGCUGCAUGGCUGUCGUCAGCUCGUGUCGUGAGAUGUUGGGUUAAGUCCCGCAACGAGCGCAACCCUUACCCUUAUUUAGCAUCAUUAAGUUGGCAACUAUAGGGGGACCGCCGGUGAUAAACCGGAGGAAGGUGGGGAUGACGUCAAGUCCUCAUGGCCCUUACGUCCAGGGCUACACACGUACUACAAUGGCCAAAACAAAGUGAUGCAAAGUCGAGAGACAGAGCAAAUCGCAAAAACAUGGUCUCAGUUCGGAUUGUGGUCUGCAACUCGACCACAUGAAGUUGGAAUCUCUAGUAAUCGCAGAUCAGCAGGCUGCGGUGAAUACGUUCCCGGGCCUUGUACACACCGCUCGUC
RNAcentral lists this ribosomal RNA (439 nucleotides) under uncultured bacterium. RNAcentral's name for it is "bacterial SSU rRNA". It matches the Rfam family "Bacterial small subunit ribosomal RNA", at positions 958 to 1398 of the family's 1533-position model. The record is from RNAcentral.